RNAcentral lists this ribosomal RNA (223 nucleotides) under Dielma fastidiosa. RNAcentral describes it as "partial 23S ribosomal RNA". It matches the Rfam family "Bacterial large subunit ribosomal RNA", at positions 2705 to 2925 of the family's 2925-position model. The record is from RNAcentral. Lineage: Bacteria; Bacillati; Bacillota; Erysipelotrichia; Erysipelotrichales; Erysipelotrichaceae.
ACCGCUGGUGCACCAGUUGUAUCGCCAGAUGCAUAGCUGGGUAGCUAAGUAGGGAACGGAUAAGCGCUGAAGGCAUCUAAGCACGAAACCGACUCCAAGAUGAGAUUUCCCAUACGCAAGUAGUAAGACCCCUUGAAGACGACAAGGUAGAUAGGUCAGAGAUGGAAGUGUAGAAAUACAUGGAGUUGACUGAUACUAAUGGUACGAGGACUUAAUCACACAA